GGGUCGUUACUCAGUCGGUAGAGCAGUUGACUUUUAAUCAAUUGGUCGCUGGUUCGAAUCCAGCACGACCCACCA
This 75-nucleotide transfer RNA is filed under the name Aeromonas salmonicida subsp. salmonicida. Its description in RNAcentral is "tRNA-Lys". It matches the Rfam family "tRNA". Rfam says of the family: Transfer RNA (tRNA) molecules are approximately 80 nucleotides in length. Their secondary structure includes four short double-helical elements and three loops (D, anti-codon, and T loops). Lineage: Bacteria; Pseudomonadati; Pseudomonadota; Gammaproteobacteria; Aeromonadales; Aeromonadaceae. The record is from RNAcentral.